Molecule: long non-coding RNA, 886 nt
Filed under: Gallus gallus (chicken)
Lineage: Eukaryota; Metazoa; Chordata; Aves; Galliformes; Phasianidae
Source: RNAcentral
CAGAAUCUAACGGUAAGGAAUCUUGUGGCUCUAUAAUUGCAGAAGCGAGAGAAUCUUUAACAUCCAUCUGCUUAAGCAUAGGAUGAGUUCUUGGCUCAGGUUUCAGUACUGUACAGACAGAAUCUUUCACGACACCAUCAUCUUCAACUUCAUCAGAGCUGAGGAUGACUCUAAAAUGAGUCUUCUCUGAUGGAGUAAUGGUAGCUGUUCUGGGAUGUUCCAGUUUCUCUUUCUUGCUUAUCUUGGUUGAUUCCGGGAAUCCUCCCCACGUCCAUUCCAUGUGAGAUUCAGAUCUCAGCAAGCUCUCAGCAGGUUUAACUUCUAGUUCGGAAUCACUUUUAGGGCAGACUGGCUCAGAGUAAGGGUUAUCCAGAGGGGACCAGUCUCCAUCAGAUAAUGGGUAAUGAUCCUUCGAGUGAUAAAUCAGAGAUUCUUUUUGUUCUUCACCUUUUGGUGACGAAUUUGAGGAUCCUCUAAGGGGCUGAACACUUUUCUCAUCAUCUGAGCUUAUUUCCAUUUCAAAAAUCUCUUCUGUCCCAGUAGAAGAAAUUUGAUCUUCUUUCCUGAUAUCUUGCUUGUAUUUCUUUCUUCUUCUUUUUUUCUUUUUCACUGAUCCCGGGGUGAAUACAGUCUCUGUUUCCAUAGCAUGCGGAAUUUCUGAGUUUGCACAUGUCCUCUCACUUUCACCUGAUAUCAAAUGAUUGCCAGUGUCUUUAAAAAACUGGUCUUCAGUGGGUAUUGGAGAUGUGGCCAAAUAUGCAGGAACUUUUUCAUUUUCCUCUUCAGUUUCUUGUACAAAGAAUGCUUCUCCAUUGUCACCCAGUUUCAUGUGAAGAUCAACAGCAUCGCCAUUAAUUUCUAUAUCAAUCACUUUUUCUUUAGAGCG